CUAUGGUUAAUUAAUGGUGAAGUUUUUAUAGUUCUUAGUCUUUUACCUAGUUUUUAUAAAAGAUUCAUUAUUGAACCCUUUUUCCUCACCCUAGCCAUGAAUUGAAGUUGUAUAUUAUCAGAGUUGUUGGAAUUGAUCAUGUUAUAGUUUAAUUCACUAUAAUGAUGAUGAUGAUGAUGAGUGUAUACAUUGAAAGUUUUUGAUGAAUUGACGGUAAGAUGUUGAAGAAUGUUUUGGAAGCUAUUUGGUUUUAGGCUGUUAAGGUGUUUCGGGGACAUUUGUUAGAAGACUUGAACUUUUCCCCAAGUUGUUGGUGAGUCCUCAAAGUUCGAGGAUGGUGCCAAUUGUUCUAUCCUAGUAGUAUUGCUUAUGUCUAAAGACACUUAUUCUUUCCUUAUUCUUGAGACUAUUGUUUUAAGUGUAUAUGUGACAUACUUUACUUGUAAGGGCUAUGCCCAAACCUUUGUAACUCUCGUUUAAAUGGAUAUAUGUGAGACAAAGUAUUAAAUUACUUAAAUGAAUUGACCAUGCUAAAUGAUA
This is a long non-coding RNA of Solanum pennellii, 540 nucleotides long. RefSeq lists it as uncharacterized. The transcript is spliced from 2 exons. Lineage: Eukaryota; Viridiplantae; Streptophyta; Magnoliopsida; Solanales; Solanaceae. The record is from RefSeq and is a predicted model, not a curated record.